UACGUAGGGUGCGAGCGUUGUCCGGAAUUAUUGGGCGUAAAGAGCUUGUAGGCGGUUUGUCGCGUCUGCUGUGAAAAUCCGGGGCUCAACCCCGGACUUGCAGUGGGUACGGGCAGACUAGAGUGUGGUAGGGGAGACUGGAAUUCCUGGUGUAGCGGUGAAAUGCGCAGAUAUCAGGAGGAACACCGAUGGCGAAGGCAGGUCUCUGGACCACUACUGACGCUGAGAAGCGAAAGCAUGGGGAGCGAACAGG
This 253-nucleotide ribosomal RNA is filed under the name uncultured bacterium. RNAcentral's name for it is "partial 16S ribosomal RNA". It matches the Rfam family "Bacterial small subunit ribosomal RNA", at positions 524 to 776 of the family's 1533-position model. The record is from RNAcentral.